RNAcentral lists this ribosomal RNA (341 nucleotides) under Ambloplites rupestris. RNAcentral describes it as "partial 16S ribosomal RNA". It matches the Rfam family "Bacterial large subunit ribosomal RNA", at positions 672 to 1081 of the family's 2925-position model. Lineage: Eukaryota; Metazoa; Chordata; Actinopteri; Centrarchiformes; Centrarchidae. The record is from RNAcentral.
UAGAAACCACCCAGGCAAAGAGAACUUUAGUCUGACUCCCCGAAACUAAGUGAGCUACUCCAAGACAGCCUAUUAAUAGGGCACACCCGUCUCUGUGGCAAAAGAGUGGGAAGAGCUUUGAGUAGAGGUGAUAGACCUACCGAACUUAGUUAUAGCUGGUUGCCUGAGAAAUGGAUAGAAGUUCAGCCUCUCGGCUUCUUUUCUCACCCCGUCCUACACCCCACAGACACCCAAAGAAACCGCGAGAGUUAUUCAAAGGGGGUACAGCCCCUUUGAAACAAGACACAACUUUUCCAGGAGGAUAAAGAUCAUAAUUAAACCAAAGUAAAAUGUUUGGGUGG